UUUGGAGGGGAGACAGGGACUGAGCACCCACUUUGUGCACGAACACUCCCAGAUCUGCACACGUGCGUGCAAACACUCGUGCGUGGUGGGGCUCCCCAUCCCCAUGCUGUUAGAAACCCGCAUUAGGCAGCUGGAGCCCUGGUGAUGGCCCUUCAGGCUACUUUUGAGGCAAUCUGUCCUGCGUGUUUCUCCAGCAGCCUCCCGAAAUUCAGACCCAACUCUUUGGCCCCUACGAGGAGAUCCCGGGCCACGCCGCCUGCCCAGGCAGCGUUUUCCUCCAGCAAUGCCGUUCCGGGGAUGCUCUGGGUGCUGCUGGAGCUGUGGGUCUCCCCACAGUGGGGUCGGGUUGUGAGAGGCCCCUCCACUCGCGACGUGUCCAGUGCCACGGGAAAUGCUGGCAUAGUCCCGCAGGAUCCUUCGGGCACAUGGAGAAAGGCAGCCGCGGCCGGAAGGAUUGCAACGGGCUCCUCCACCCACGUAGCCGGUGGAGGAAACUCCAUCUGCAGCUGGUGGGAUCCAAACGAGACAGGCUGGGAUGCGGCAGAGGGGUGAAACAAAGCGGAAGAGCUGGCCGUACGUUUCCCACAAAUCCUCCUUAUGGACCAGGAUGAUUUUAGCACGAAGCGCGGCCGUGGUAGGAGCUUCCCGUCUUGGGAGGUCUCCGGGGACAAGAAGGAGGAGAAGAGAAGCUGCUUUGGCUGAGCACCUCAUGUCGUCUGCUAGGUGUGCUCUUCCCAUCCGGCGCCUUUGCUUGCUGCUGCCUACAUCAGCGUGUUCUCAAAUUCCAUUCGGGGCACCAUAAUGCCGUGUCGUACGGCUCCUUAUCCGCCUGGGGCGUUAGGAGCGCUGUGAUUCCGUUGAAUUUGGUGGCUGGAGGACGAAGGCGUCCAGGGACCCCAAACCGGCCCCCAACCCCAAGAGAACCCCAGGCGUCCGGGUUCCCCUUCCCRGUGCCCAACCUCGUAGCAGCCAGCAGCGAAUCGCACCCCAGGAGCUCCCAGUCUGGGACUGGGGGGCACCGGUUAGUCCCCAUCCCCUAGGAACCAGCCGAGGUGGGGGGGGGCAAGUAAAGAACGUGCGGCCUUUAUUGCCCCCGUGGUGGGCUGAACUGCCCCGGAGAAAACAAAUACCCCAAGAGGGGGCAAAUAACCCAAAGCAGGGGGUAAAUACCCCCAGGGGGGCAGAAAUAACCCAAGAGGGGGAAAAUUACCUGGAGAAGGGAGCAAAUAUCCUUGGGUGGGGGGGCAAAUGCCCCCCAAAAACUGGGAAAAUACCCCAGAGCAGUGCAACAGAUGCUCCGCGGGAGGAAAUACCCCCGGGGGGGGCACAAAUACUCCAAGAGGAGGCAAAUACCCCAGUGGAGGAGGGCAGAUACCCCCGGGGGGGCAAAUACCCCCGGGGGGGGGGGGCAAGGCCCCGUAGUGUGUCUGUGAUGCCCCCCCCAGCCACAGAGGGCAGGGCAGGGUCAAGGGUCACCGGGGUCAGCCCCAGGGGGCCUGUUUGGGUGACACAGGUCACCAUAGGUCAAGGCCAUGGGUCAGGGGUCAGCCCUGGGGUCAAGAGUCACCAGAAGGCCGGGGGAAGGGGGGGUCAGGGGUUGCAGGUCACUGUCGGUGACCCUGGGGCAGGGUCGGAGGUCGCCACGGGGUCGGGGCAGAGAUUGCAGGUCACCGGGGGGUCGCACAGGGUCAGAGGUCGCUGUGGCGCAGCCCCAGGGUCGCAGGUCACCGGGGGCCGACCCCAGGGUCGCAGGUCACCACGGGUCAACGCCGGGGGCCGCCGGUCGCCGCGGGCUGCCGGGGAGCAGGGUCGGAGGUCGCCGCGGAUCACGGCCCGGGGUCGGGGGGUCGGGGGGUCGGAGGUCAGUCCCGGCGCAGGUUCUUGAGCCGCUCCUCCAGGUCGGCGUCGGCGUCGGCCAAGGCGGCUGCGGCCUCGGGCGCCCGCCCCUCCCCYGCUGCCAGCGACCCCCCCGGCGGGGGCAGCGCUGGGGGCAAAGGGCGAAGGUCAAAGGUGGGGGGGGGGCAGCAAUCCCAG
Molecule: long non-coding RNA, 2034 nt
Organism: Apteryx rowi (Okarito brown kiwi)
Lineage: Eukaryota; Metazoa; Chordata; Aves; Apterygiformes; Apterygidae
Source: Ensembl